AUGACAAGCAAUAUAGCCGAAUGCUUCAAUAGGGUGCUCAAAGGUGCACGUGGAUUACCCGUGACGGCAAUAGUUCAAUACACAUUUGACAAGAUGAAUGCGUACUUUGUAAAGUACUCGAUGAAAACCGAUGCACAGAUAGCGGAUGAGAACCCACGAAAGUACAAGUACAAGUUCCCACCCAAAGUUGAUGAAUGGUUGGUAUUUCAAUCACGGAAAGCGGACUCAGAAGAAGCUAUAUUAUAUGACAACGAAGAGUGGAAGUACGAAGUGAAAGAGCCAGGAGGAACCACAAACGAUGGCCGGCAACAUGGAGGUCGGGCUUUCAAGGUGUCGUUAACACAAUGUGAUUGCACUUGCGGGAGGCCAUUGUUGCUUCAUCUCUCAUGCUCACACUUGUAUACCGCCGGUCGCGUUAGGAAUGUGGACAUCAAUCACCCACGCACCGUGAGGGAGUCGGAGUUCUCAAUCAUGACGGUCAAGAAAACAUGGGCUCCCCGCUUUUACCCAUACUUUGACCAAUCACAAUGGCCGGAGUAUCAUGAAAUUCAACUAUGGCUGGAUCCGGAGUUGAAGGUUGUUAAAAGGGGUAGACGUAAGACAAAGCGUCUUAGAGGCGACAUGGACGGAUGGGGCCAUGGUGGCCGCCGCGAAGCGGGCAACGACCAAUUCCAAGAGCCUCGUGAGAGCUCCCGUUGUGGGGAGUGCAAAGGUCAUGGCCACAACAAAAGAAAAUAUACGAAACCAAGGAAAAGGUCCAAGUAA
Molecule: ribosomal RNA, 765 nt
Filed under: Triticum aestivum (bread wheat)
Lineage: Eukaryota; Viridiplantae; Streptophyta; Magnoliopsida; Poales; Poaceae
Description: partial small subunit ribosomal RNA
Source: RNAcentral